Molecule: ribosomal RNA, 386 nt
Filed under: uncultured organism
Description: bacterial SSU rRNA
Rfam family: Bacterial small subunit ribosomal RNA
Source: RNAcentral
UGCUUUACACAUGCAAGUCGAGCGGCAGCGCGGGGGCAACCCUGGCGGCGAGCGGCGAACGGGUGAGUAAUGCAUCGGAACGUACCCAUUUGUGGGGGAUAACUAAUCGAAAGGUUAGCUAAUACCGCAUAAGUCCUGAGGGAGAAAGCAGGGGAUCGCAAGACCUUGCGCAGAUGGAGCGGCCGAUGCCGGAUUAGCUAGUUGGUGAGGUAAAGGCCCACCAAGGCGACGAUCCGUAGCUGGUCUGAGAGGAUGAUCAGCCACACUGGAACUGAGACACGGUCCAGACUCCUACGGGAGGCAGCAGUGGGGAAUUUUGGACAAUGGGGGCAACCCUGAUCCAGCCAUUCCGCGUGAGUGAAGAAGGCCUUCGGGUUGUAAAGCUC